GUUCGAGCGUCAUUACACCACUCAAGCCUCGCUUGGUAUUGGGCGACGAGAGCACCUCGCGCCCCCAUUUCACCGGCUGGACGGACCGAACCUCAGCGUUGUGGUUAUUCAAAUCGCUGUCGGGUCGAGACGGACGCGCCGUUAAAACCUCUUUAUCACAGGUUGACCUCGGAUCGGGUAGGGAUACCCGCUGAACUUAA
This 200-nucleotide unclassified non-coding RNA is filed under the name soil metagenome. Its description in RNAcentral is "partial contains internal transcribed spacer 2 and large subunit ribosomal RNA". The record is from RNAcentral.